Long non-coding RNA from Loxodonta africana (African savanna elephant), 436 nucleotides. RefSeq lists it as uncharacterized. The transcript has 4 exons. The record is from RefSeq and is a predicted model, not a curated record. NCBI's taxonomy places the organism in Eukaryota, Metazoa, Chordata, Mammalia, Proboscidea, Elephantidae.
UGGGACCCAGUACGCAGGCCCGCCGAGCGGCCAAUGAAGGCUGGAGGCCGGCGGUGUAGAGCCCGUCAGCCCCGAAGCCGCGUCCCGCACUCGGACAUCCCGAAGUUUGGAGAGUAAUAAUACUUUGCCCAAGAUCACACAGCAAGACACAAUUUCCUGACUCCAAGGUAGCAAGCUGGUGUUCAAACAAAGUAUGAUAGCCGUGCCUAUCUGAAGAGCGAGACCUCACAGGCAUAGACAUGCCUAUCAUGAAACCCUGUUAUGAGUAGUUCCCCUCUGAUAUGUGUGAGAUUUUUCUUUUCAUCCUUCUUGGGAUUAUAAUGUUUUACAAAGAGGAACUUGAAGUACUUACUGAUGAAGAUCAAAGACUAUAGCCUUCAGUAUGAAUUGCACCUCAACAUAAAGAAAAAAAAAAAAAAAACAACCAGACCAAUAA